GGAAAUGAUAGCAGAGAUGUUAAGUGACUUGCCCAAAGUCACAUAGUGAGUGGCAGGAAUAUAUGAUAAUUUGACAGUUGUUUUGACAUGGGACCAUUUUAGAGUCCUAAAAAAUGAGUUAUUGAACUUUUAUCUGUUCUUAGUUUUAACUAAUGUGUGCAACAGACUUGAGUGUCAUCCUCUAUAUAACUAAAUCACUUUAGUGUUAGGCUCAAGGAGGGGGCUGGGGUGGGUGAGGCACAGACACUUGCUGCCAGAGCAUGUGUAACCAGCAGUCCUUUGUUCACCACACCUGCUUCAAUCAUUGUUAGGAAACCUAACAAUGUCUAUUACAGUCUCUCCUAG
Molecule: long non-coding RNA, 345 nt
Organism: Pan paniscus (pygmy chimpanzee)
Lineage: Eukaryota; Metazoa; Chordata; Mammalia; Primates; Hominidae
Source: Ensembl